AAAGACUCAAUUUUUAGGUUUUGGCAUUCAACGUUUGACCGUCCGUCUUAUAUAAAAUUUUUUUAUGAUUAAUAUUUUUAUUAUUGUUAGAUGAUAAAACAUAAAUAAUACUUUAUGAAUGAGUUAUCUUUUUAAUUUUUUUCAUAAUUUUUUCAAAUAAGACGAACGGUCCAACGUUAGACACGGAAACCCAGGAAUUGAGUUUUU
Oryza barthii is the source of this 207-nucleotide non-coding RNA. Lineage: Eukaryota; Viridiplantae; Streptophyta; Magnoliopsida; Poales; Poaceae. The record is from Rfam.